Molecule: long non-coding RNA, 17156 nt
Filed under: Equus caballus (horse)
Lineage: Eukaryota; Metazoa; Chordata; Mammalia; Perissodactyla; Equidae
Description: lncRNA (ENSECAG00000056118.1)
Source: RNAcentral
CCCAGAUACAUAAAGAACUCCUACAAUGAGCAGAAGAUCUGCAGCAGGCAUUUCUCAGAGGAGAUCACAGGCACACAGAGAACGUGGGAAGAGAUGCUCACCUUCACUAGUGUACACGGAUGUGCACACUAAGAUCUCAGUGAGCUGUGAUCGGAUGCCCUCUAGACUGGUCAAAAGUAAGACAUCUGACAGCACCAAGGGCUUGAGUGGGUAUAGACCACCUGGGACACAUAAGCAGUGUUGAUGAGAGCGUCAACUGGUCACCACUUAGGAAAUCACACGGGCAUUUUCUUGUUAGGCUGACCAUUUACACACCUUCUAACCCUGCAAGCCCAGCCCUACGCAUUACAGAAGAUAUGUACAAGAUCUCCUAGCAGCAUUGUUAAUAACAGAAAAAAAUAAAAUGGAAAUGACCCAAAUACUCAUGGAUAGGAGAAUGCAAAAAUAAGCUGUGGAAUAGUCACAAUUUAUUUUCACACCGUUGAAAAUAAACUACAGCUACACAAGACAGCAUGGAUGAAGCUUAGAAACAGUAAAAUGUUGAGUAAAAAAUGCAAACCUUAGAAGUCUCUACAUAGUAUGCCAUUUUACAAAGCUCAAGAACAAACAAAACAAUAUACUGCUUGGACAUAUGCAGUAGACUUAUGAGCAAGAGAAUGACAAACACACACAACAUUCAGGACAGUGGUGACUUCCAAGGUACGACAAGAUGCAAACACACAGAUGCAAAUUAUUGAGAAGGUUCCAGUUCUGGAGUGAGUGGUGUGUUCACAGAUGCUCAUAAUUUUUUAUCUUUUAUAAUGUAUAAAACACAUUAAAUUUUUAAAAGAUACGAGCAAAGGAGAAAAAAGAGGAGGAACACAGUGUGGAUCCAGACAGAUCCAGUAUGAUGUCCCUGUCACACAGCUCACUGUUUUCACUUUGUGUCACGAUGGGUACCCAGAAGUCUGUGGAGAGGUCAGACUACGAGGCAGAAGGACUGGAAACUGGAUGAGGGCAUUCCCUCCCCUGGGCAUCAGUUUCUCCAUAUGCAAAAUAAGGGGAUUUACCAGGAAUGACAAAUGGCUGGCAUGUAUAGCAUAGAUCUCCCUUUCCUUACCCACUGCAGACAUUACUAAUGGAUUGCAGCACUCUGUCAUGCUGAGCACUUAUACAGCUUUGGAUUCCUUCUCAGCUUGGCACCGCAGGCUGCCAGGGAUGGUGGAUAAGAGAGAUGGCACACACGGUGAUACCUACUUGCUGACCUGGAGAGUCCAUCCAGCUCUGGGCUUGGAAUUUUGAAGCCAGGCCAGUAGGUACCAGUACUCUGAAAGGCAGUCCCUCUCAGGGAGCAGCCCGCUGGCCCUGGAGCCGGCCCUGGCCAGACCUUGGCAGGUGGAACCUCGGCUUUGACAGCGCCCACGCCCAUGGCUUCCAGUCUCCUGGAGCCCCCUGCUGCCCACCCACCAUCCCUCCAGGCCUCCGUGCUCCCACCUGCUGGGCAGGCUCACGUCUACCCCAUGCCGGUGGGCUUCGCUGACUUGACAACAGCUCGACUGGCACAGAGGGCCAGGCGGGAGCUCAUGUCACCAUCUACCCCAGAGGGCACUGGGAGUGCCCACUGUGCCUUAUCAACCAGCCUCCCCUGCAGAAGGACAGCAUUCCUCCCACCACCUUGCCUCCUCAGGCCUCCAGGCCUUUCUUUUUUUUUUUUUUUUGGAGGAAGAUUAGCCCUCAGCUAACUACUGCCAGUCCUCCUCUUUUUGCUGAGGAAGCCUGGCUCUGAGCUAACAUCCGUGCCCAUCUUCCUCUAGUUUAUACGUGGGACGCCUACCACAGCAUGGCUGCCAAGCAGUGCCAUGUCCGCACCCGGGAUCCGAACCAGCGAACCCCGGGCCGCCGAGAAGCGGAACGUGCGAACUUAACCGCUGCGCCACCGGGCCGGCCCCUGGCCUCCAGGCCUUUCGAGGCCCCCAUCUUCCCUCCACUCAGGGCCUCAGCUGGCAGGAGUCCCCCUUGUCCGCACUGCCCAGCUCCUUCCUCCCCAGCGGGGGUCAGCGUGCCCUCCUGCAGACAGCCACACCAGAGUUCAGCUUUCUCACGGAGAACGUAUGUCUGGGGCCAGGUUCUGUGGGUGUCUGUCCCCCACUUUGGGGAGCCCCUCAGAGACCACCUAAUGAUUGGCAUGAAAAUAAUAAUGCCAUCAGGAACAACAAAGAUUCCUUGGAGUCAGUGGACUUUUUGAAACACUCUCUUACUGUUGCACCAGUGUCACAGCCAGUGAAGUCCGCAGUGAGGGACACACUUCACUCCCAUGGUGACAACGAGAAAGUCAGGGCCACAAAGGGGAGAGACUUUCUAGCAUCACUGUCCACCUGCCCACCUCCUGGGAGGCCGGGAAAGCUUUUCUGCCACAUUCCAUCAGGGCCCUGAAACGCCCCGUCCUGCGUGGACACACCUUCCCUCCCCCAGGCCAGGGACUGCUGAGCGACCACAGUCCCAAGUCCCUGAGCAUCCUGCUCCUGCAGAUUAUUUCAGUAACGAGAUUGUAUCGAGGGACAUUAUAUCCAGUGACGUGGUGUUUCUGGCGAUUCAUCUCUCUUCCGUUUUAUUCAUCUUAUGCAAAUUUUAAAUGACUGCUGGGGCUGCGUGUGCAGGAAGUCUUGGUUCGCUAGAAGGAACUGUGGUGGGUUCUUAGAAGACAAGGAGAGGAACUUAAGGCAUCUUGCCGUCUCCAAGGAGCGGAGUGGAGACAAAGGCGUCUCUGACUGCUUCGUCCUGGAACAAAGCGCCAGCACGCACCCACAUGUGGCCCGGGGGACCCCUGAUCGGAGUCUGCCAUGGAUGCCCACUGUGUGGAAGGGCCUGGAACCUGCUAUGAUCAUCACUGUCCAUAGACUCUGAGGAGCAAACACCACGCGCCACUUUUCACUUGCAAAGGCCCAGAAACAAGAAUGCUUGUGUUCCCAGGAAUACAGAUGCCAGAUGUUCACUUCUGGUCCAAACUCAUCGUCUUUUGAGCCUUGGAAACUUUGGGCACACUGCUUCUACCUCUACCAUCUCCCACCACACUCCCCCAGCAAGUUCCCCACCUGGACAACUCCAAUGCCUCCUCAAAACCCGCUCUGAUGCCUCCUCCUCCAGGCAGUCUCCCUUGCCUUCCUUCCAGCCUCUUUCAUAUACUCUUAUUAUGCUCUUUUAUCCUGGCUGGAAUGAUCACAGUGGGUUCGAAUGCUGCUGCUUGCAUGUCUGUCUCCCCUACCAGGGGGUGGGUUUGUGGGAGCCGGGCUUAUGGCUGAUUCACCCCCGUCCCCUCCAGCCCCUCAGCACAGGCCCUGGCACAUAGUGAGGAUGGAGCAGAGCCUCAAAAAAGCAUGAGCCAAAUGCCUGAGCUCUGUCUUCACAGAACUUAGAGUUCAGUGAAAGAGAUCUAGUGACAAAGAAGGGGAAUUGAAGGUACUCUGAACACAGAUCAGGCAGUCCUUUCCUGAGUAGUUCACGUUUAAGCCGAGAUCUCACUGGUGAGUAAAUAUAAACCAGGCAGAAAUAGGCAUAAGCAACUUUCCGAAGAGAGAGAGUAACAGACCACGUUCCAAGGUGGGAGGGAGCGGCUCCUGUAAGUACUGAAAGCCUCCAGCGGAGAGACAGGGCAGUGAGGGAGAGCUUGUGGGCCAUGGGUACCAGUGAGGGGAGGCUGGAUUAUGCUGAGAACAAAUGAGUCCCCAGAUCUCAGGGGCCCACAGUCGGGUCUGUCUAUCUCUCGCGCUACGUGUCCACAUGGUUCUACUGCUUGUCGCCUUCCCUCUGGACUCAGGCUGUGGGACAGUCUGUCUGCAAUAUCGCCAUUGCCCCAGGAGAAGGAGAAGAAGUGACAAAGCGCACACCGGCUCUUUGCCGUUCCUCAGCCCCCUUGCCGUGCCCGAGAGCAACAAGGAGCAGGGCCGCCUAAUCCUCCAGCUGGGAGGAACCACAACAAGGGCACUGAGGGUGGCGAGCCAUCAUCCAGUUCCACACCACGCUUAUGAUUCUGAUGAUUAUCCUAGGAGCCAGGGAAAGCCACAGAAUACAUUCUCUAUUGGUAGCAAGUCACUCUGGCUGCAGCAAGGAGAACAACCCAUUGGAAAUGGGCAAGAGUGGAUUUGGGGAGAAAGAUUGGGAGGCCAUUUCAAUUCUCCAGGCCAAAAAAAGGACAAUCCUUUACUAGGGUCAUGGCAGUGGAAACGGGGAGAAACCAACAGAUUAAAAAGAUAGGAGGAUUGAGUGAUGUGCAAAGGGAAGCAGAGAGGAGUGGCUAGGUGGCCCCAGGGUCAGGGAAAGAACAGAGCAGGCUUGGUUCCUCAUGCCUUACCAGCCGCUGGCUCUGGUCACUUGGGAAGAGGAGUUAGCCUAUUCGCUGUUUGUUCUGGGGUUCCCUGUGUUCUCCUAAUAAAUCUCCCCCUCUUGCUUAGGAAAAAAUGCAUGAGCUAAAUAAAGGAGGGAACAAAUGGAUUAAUAAGGCAAUGAGCUCUGAGUGAACUGACAAAUGAGUGACAGAGUGACCAGGGGAAUUCAUUCAUGUCCCCAGAUGUUCAAAGGAUGAAGAGAACCUGGACUCAACCAGAAGAAAAAGGAAGUCAUCUCCGCUGGGCAUGCCUCAGAGGGCCCCCCCCCCCCCAUACCUCAGGGUCUCCACUCCUCCAGGGAGAUGACCAGUUUCAGCUGCGACAGAGAAAAGAGGGGUGGGCUGGGGGGAGAGGGGAGGGACAGGGAGGAGGGCGAUGGGCGGGUCCGUGGGAGCUCGGCAUCAUCCUCUCCUCCGUCCAUGUGGCCUCCCUGCGUUUCCCUUUCAGAGUCCACAGCUUGACCAUCCGUGGUGGACAGGCUUGGGAGUCACCAACAGCCCAAGAGAGAUUUUCUGUCUCAGCGGCAGCACUGGGUAACCUCACAGAAACUCAGAGCCCAGGGUUCUCACAGGCUUAGAAGGCCCAGAUCCCCUUCUGCCCUGGGCCCCCUUGACAGCCACAAAGGGGAAGGAUUUCGAGGCGCAGCUGCGGGACCAUGGCCUUUUCUCAGCCCAGCCCGCCUUUGGAGCAUCGUGGUCACUGUCCGUGACACUCAUGGCUUGACUCAGAGCAGGAGACACGCUCUAAGACCGAACCACAGUGUGUCAGAGCUGAGGGGGCUCCAGGACCUCAUUUUCCCCAGCACCUUGCUUUGCAGAGGAGAAAGCAGAAGCCCAGAGAGGGGAAAGAAUUCCCUCAGGCCACACAGUGAGGGGCAGAGAGGGACUGGAAGCUAGCCUUUGGACAAAACUCACUGCCUUUGGAAGGCUCCUGGGUGAUGCUCCCUUCCCGGCACAACUAACAGGCCUGAACACUCAGAGUGGCACACAGAAGGUGCUCAGUGGACAUUUGUGGACUAAAUGAUUAUAAUGGGACAAAAAAAGCAGGCCAUGAAACUGGGAGUGGACCUCAAAUCCUGUCUUCCAACAGCAAGUCCUGCUCCUCUUUGAAAGCCCACCUGAGAAGGACACCAGCACAGAGGGGAGUGAGCCAGGCCGAGAGGCUGGGAGAAGCUAUUCCUGCUGAUGGCAUCAAGCACCCAGGCUGUCAGCUAUACGAGAAUGGAGACCUCUGCCUGCUUCUCCAGCUGCUGUGCCCUGUGUCUCGAGCCAGCCAAGCAGGCAGCAGGGCCUCAGUGACAUGCCCUGAGCAAGUGAACACUGCAGACCACAAACAAGCACAUUUCCGGGAGUGCUAAGCGUUGUCGUCUCAUUCGCUGUUUAUGGAGCCCCUCUCUGUGUCCGGCCCUGACCUUGGCUUGAGGCACGGACUCAGCGAAGGAGACAAACUCUGCUGCCCCCAUGGAGCCGACAUUGCAGACGGGGACAAAGAGUGAGCAGAGCACAGCAGAGCCCACGGUGUGCACGCAGCCAGGAGCGUCUUCUCCAAUGGAAGCCGAUCGUGUCACUCCCUGCUCUUGGAUCCCCUGCUCCUUAGAACAAAACCCAAAGGCCUUCCUGUGGAACUGAGCUUGGACUAAUGAGGGAGAUCAGAGACAGCCACUGGCCCAGCCAGUCAAGGCCCACAGCUCACACAAGAGGAGAAAGUCUCACUAGCAGAGCAUUCUGUUACCGGAGCUGACAGCUUUCCAGGCCACGAGCUGCGGGAUAUUUAAGUUUGGAGACGCAGACCAAAAUGCACCAGUGAGAAGUGGUCCCAGAAACAAGGGGUGCUGCUCCAAACCCCCACUCCCCAGCCUCAUUCCCCACCUCUGUCUUGUAUGUGCCUAACACUCCAGCUUCCUUCUGUCUGGGAUGCCUCCUCUCCAUAUCUUGUGGUCAGAGCCGUGCAUCAAGGCCCCGCUAGAUGCCACCUCCUUCAAGACGCUGUCCCGAUACUGGCAGCAGCAGGUGAGCGUGUGCUGUGCUGUGACUGUCCUUCCUUUGUACCGGUGCACAGGUGACUGUACCGUAGUUAGGUCCCUGUCUUGUCUUCCCAGCUGGACUGUGCCCUUCGGGCAGGACCUGUGUCUGAUUCAUCUCUGGGAGCCCAAUGGAGUUUGGCCAAGUGCCCGGCAUUUCGGCUUCCCAGAGAGGAAACCUCAUGGGCAGAGUAUCUGGGGGAAACUGAACAAUUCACUAUGAGUAAAGUGCAAGGAAUGGAUGCUAGUGAAAAGCUCUGCAGGGGGACAGGUCAUAGAGGGUCCCGAAAGCCCACUAAGGCACUGGGACUCUCCCUGAAGGGAAUGAGAGCCAUGGACAGAUCUCAAGGAGAACAACACUCACUGACCACACAUCGGGUUGUUUGGCGUAAAGAAAACCAAAACAGGGGACAUGAAGGGGGAGCGACAAGACUCCCAGCCUGUCCCUAGCCCUCCUCUUACUUCCCCUGGCCCUGCUCUCAGUGUGCGAAGGAAAAUCUUCUCUGACUGGUCAGAUGCUGGGACUGUCCCUGGGCAGUCUCGAGAGCAUGCAGAAAGACUCUGCACAUAGUGCCACCCAGCCUCACGAGAAACAGCCAGGGGCCUCCUGGACAUUCCUCAGCUUCUUAGGAGCCCAUGCAGAAGCUCCCUGAUAGACAUCUGAAACGAUAAAUUCACCGCCUAAAAUGGAAAUACCAGGGAAAGCCCUGGGCACCUGGAACUUGCCUUUUAGAAGCCACCUUUCCGCCAUCCCCUCCAUCUCUCUGGGCUGCUGUCUCUUACCAUGAAUCCUCCUCUACCCCCCAGGAUGUCUGGCUUCCCGUGGAGCUCCCCUGGAACCUUGAGCAGACUGAACAGCCCAGACCUCGGUCAGGACUCUUAGAGGGAGUGCUCGGUGCACUGUUACAAAAAGGAGGAAUCAUCAUGGUGGAAGGGCCAACUCCUGCGUUAUAGCCAGAAAACUCAGCUGCACAUGGGAGGGACCCUUAGGCCGCUUUGACCCUUAGGCCCACACCAGCGCCACUUCUCUGACUCUGCACACAGACUGGUUCAUGGGACUUUGUUAUCUAUUAUGGACCGCUUGGUUGUAGUUAAGAAAGGCCACAGGAUCAGAAGUUUCCCUCACUCCUGAAAAUGUUAGGGAAUGUUAGUAUGCAGUUUCUGCCUUUCUGACCUCACUAUGGCUCACAGCCUUUUCCCUUCAGAACCACACUAGUUGCUGCUGAGAGUUCCCAUAGUAAUUCUAAGUCACUUUUCCAUAUAGUUGUUCUGAUUAACUCCAAGUACUACAUCACUACCUGCUUCUCAAACUGGAGCAUGCGCAGCCCCAAUUCUGCGCAGAGAGGAUGCAAGACAGCGUAUCUGUGAUACAUCUUUCUGGAGCAUCAGGUUUUUUACAAGACUUGGAAAACCAAGUACUUUAUAAGAACCAUCUCUCCUCCCCACAAACAUGGAAGAAAAGAUGGAGAGGACAGGGGAGGGAAGAAGUGCCCCAGGAAAAGCAGUCCAGCCCCUGAAGUUUCACCCUGGUGGGGGCCAAGGGGCAGACCUGCAGCUAGGGUGGCCUCUCCUCGUGUCCCCCAGGCGCCUCCAGCCCGUCCUCUAAGUUCACCAAGUAUUUUGGAUAUAAUGCUUCUGAAGGCCAUGGAGGUGCCAGACACCAUUCUGAUGUGAACCCAGAGCAGAGAAUACCAAAGCGGUUUGCACACCUCCAUCGUCCACUGGACCAAAUCCUCUCGCCCGCACAUCCGUUCACAUAUAGCGUGUACUUCUUGUACAGCUCCCACUUGCAGCUGAAUGUGUCCAGCCUCUGGCCGAACUCCCACACCACAUUGCCAGGCUCUCUGGAGCUCCACAUCUUGCUCUCCAUUUAAAAUGCAGGGGUGCCGCUUGACCUCCCCACAAUCUUUGAUUUGAACCCUGCCAUGAGAUUAAAUUGGCUUCACUCUAUUGUGUUUGCCAUACUGGUUGCUGCUGAGAAGACAAAAACAGAAGCAUCUUAGAAAGUUUAAGAAUCUCCCAGCAGCCCCCCACCAGCCAGAGGGAGAGGCUGGGGUCACCCCAUCAGGCUCCCCAGUGUGGAGGGAAUUUCCAUUGCAGGUUCUCUCUGGGGCUCCUGUUGCUGGUGCUGUGGGUGGAGGAGAAGGCCCCAGGGCCACGCUGGGGGCUUGGACUCGGGGUGGGGGUCCUCGACUCCAGUCUGAGUGGGGGACUGGCAGGCUCCUGGGUGGGCUGCUGAUUUUCUGCCUCAUGGAGCCAGGUGGGUUUGGCUUUAUUGCGUUUCACUGGGAGUGCAGAGACCUUCGGCUGCACCUUGAGGCUUAGGGAGGAGCUGCAGCUCUUGGGGUGAAUGGAAGCGGAGGACCUCAUAGAGAUGGUGUGGCCCUCCAUCUUGGGUUUCUUGGAGCUCAGGAUUAGGUAUGUUGCCAUGACACUGUCAAAUCUCCUUUUCCUUAAGGAAUCCUGGAUCUUGUCCCACUCAAAGCCCAUGUCCAUCAUCACCUCUAUCACCCCGAGGUCCCUGUUGUCACAGGGCAGCUCCCCAUAAGGCCUGAGUUUCUCCUGGCCCAUAUUAACCCACGGGUCCUUCAUGAUGUCUUUUAAACUUUUUCUCUUGCUGGGGUCAAGGGUCAUCGUUUUCUUUAGGAGUUUUCUGCAUUUAAAGGAUAAGAACACAGGAAGCAGGCAUUGCCUUCUCAGUACCCUCGCUUCACUGGAGCGAAGUCGUCUCCUGGGAAAGGCCCGGCCCCAGUGAGCAUAACGUGAAGAACCACCCCAAGGCUCCAGACGUCUGCCCAGCAGCGUAGUCCUGGCAAAAGAAGACUUCCGGGUCAGUGUGACAGGAGCACCGCAGUGCAUCCUCAGCUUCCGGCCAAGGGUCACGGUGCUCAGAACAGAGUCCUCGAGCUUUACAUUCAGCUCAGCGUUCAGAAGUACGUUCUCCGGCUUCAGGUCCCUGUGGACGAUGCCUCUGUGGUGGCAGUACUGGAGGGCCGAGCUGAGCUGCCUCAGGCUGCCUCAGGCCUCCUCCUGCGUCGUGGGGCCGCGCUUUGCUACGUAAUCCGGCACGUCUCCUCUGCUAACAUGCCCCGGGAUGAGCAACGAUGUUUCCUCUGUGUCGAUGACCUCCAAUAACUUUGCGAAGUCUGGGUGAUUGCAGGCCCUUAGGGUGUAGACUUCACGGAAAAGCUUCUUGUUUCUGUAGAAGCUCUGCUGAGGCUUCUCAAUGAUUUUUACAGCCACUUCUGUCCCAGUCGGGAUUUCCCGCCCCACCUUCACUGUGGUGAAGCUCCCUUCUCCAAUGGUAUUGAGGAGCUCGUAAUUGUUAAUACGGGUCGUCUUGUUAGCAGAGGUGGCCUCGAGGCCCAGAAGCAUGUGACCUGCUAACUACACUAACUGACAAUACUAACUAACAAUGCUAACUAUGCUAACAAACAAAACUAUAGUAUGCUAAUAUUAACUAAUGAUCCUAACAAUGCCACCUAUGCUUACUAUGCUAAUAAGUAAUACUAACUAUACCAAGUAUGCUAACUAUAUUAACUAUACCAACAGUACUAACUCUACUAGCAAUACAAAAUAAAAAAUUUAAGGAGGGGCCAGCUGGGUGGUGCAGCGGUUAAGUUUGCGCAUUCUGCUUUGGGAGCCCAGGGUUUGCUGGUUUGGAUCCUGGGUGUGGACCUACACACUGCUUGUCAAGCCAUGCUGUGGUAAGCAUCCCACCUAUGAAGUAGAGGAAGAUGGGCAUUGAUGUUAGCUCAGGGCCAGUCUUCUUCAGCCAAAAAAAAAAGAAAAGUAGGAGGAUUGGUGGCAGAUGUUAGCUCAGGGCUAAUCUUCCUCAAAAAAAAAUUUAAGGAAAAUGAGAAAAAGAACCAGAAAACAAAGAAAAAAGAAAAAAUAAGAAAAGAACAAAGAAAAAUUGAGAAAAAGAGAAAAAAGUGUGAAAAAUAAAACAAGAAAAAUGAGAAAAAGACAAAAAGAAUUUUAAAAAAUGAGAAAGGAGAAUAAAAAAAUUAAAAAGAAAAUAGAGAAAAAUAAGAAAAUAAAAACAAUAGAUAAAAAAGAAAAAAUAAACAAAAUGGGAUGGAAAAAAAAAGAAAAAAGCUCACUGCGGUCCAAGUCCUACAGGUCACCAAAAAUUAGCUUCCUGGGCUGUAAGGAACAAAAACCCAAGCCCAGCCAGAGACUUUAUAGGUGUUUGUAAUUCCAUCAUGGUGGAUCCUUAUGAGCUCUGGGCAAGAAAUGGACCAAUCAUGGCAGGGGAUAAACUACAGUGUUUUUCUUACUUUUUGGUCUCAACACCCCUUUACUGUUUAAAAAACAAAAAAGGACCCCAAAGAGCUUUUUAUUUAUGUGGGAUAUUAGAGAGUGAUAUUUAUUAGAAAUUAAAAUCUGUAAGAUGCUUCAGUGGCCUUUUCAUUUCUAAUUUAAAAAUCUGUAAUAAUUUUUGGCUUUUAGAGGCCUCACAGUGUCUACACUUAAAAUAUUUAAUUCCUUGUCCUUCAACUCUGAUUAGUCUCAAAAUGAUCCCACAACUUAAAGGAUGUUAUAAUACUAUAGGAAAAUGUUCUGUUGGUGAGACACAAGAAGGGACAUCAUUGAUGUUUAUAAAGCUGAGAGGAAGAGAGCUUUCAUCAUAUUUUCCGCAGUAAGAUCACGAGCAGAUUUCUCAUCAGAAACCUUGGAGGCCAGAUGGCAUGGGUUGAUGUAUUCAAAAUGCUGAAGGAAAAAAGAAUCCAACCAAGAAUCCUAUAUCUGGCAAAACUGUCCUUCGAAAAUGAGGGGAAAUGAAGACAUUCCCGUAUAAACCAAAGCUGAGGGAGUUCUUCACACUAGACCUGCCCUCCAAGGAAGGGAGUCCUUCAGGUUGAAACAAAAGGACACUGGACAGUAACUCAAUGCCUUGGGAAGAAAUAAAUAUCUCCGGUCAAAGUAUGUGGAUGAUUAUAAAAACUAGUACUAGUGUAACUUUGGUUUGUAGCUCCACUUUUUGUUUUCUACGUUAAGAGACUAAAGUAUUAAAAAACCCAAUUAUUAGUAUAUGUUUUUGGACACACAUCCUAAAGAUGUAACUUUGUGACAUUCAUAACUGAAAUGGGGAGGAGUCAGGGCUGUAUAGGAGCUGAGUUUCUGUAUUUUACUGAAGUUAAGCUGGUAUAGAUUGACGUUAGAGUGUUACAACUUUACGAUGUUGAGUGUAAUCCCAUGGUAACCACAAAGAAAAAAGCUAUAGAAUAUAGACAAAAGAAAAUGAGAAGGUAAUUAAAUUGCCCUUUCAGUAAUUGUACAAACAAGCUACAUGGCCCUGUCAGCACAGAAAUCCCACGGGACGGCUUCUCUCACUGAACCAUCUCUGCAGAUUGCAGGAGGCCAUCCUGUGCCCCUUUCCUAUGUCUGCUGUGUCAGUGACAGUGUUAUUGAUGUUGUUUUUCAAGCUAAUUGACAGUCUGGUGCAGGAUAGUUUCUCCAGGAUGCCAUAAAGCAGUUGUCAGCUGUCUUGAAGGCUCUGGCUGUCCACAGCUCUCACCACAGCUACACAAUGCCUGCCAGGGCCACAGGCCACCUCCCAUCUCACCACAAGUGCAAAAUUAGAAAUAACACCAAUGACAAUGAUGAUGCGUGACACUCCUUACGUCCCAAGCCCUGAGCUGGGCCCUGACGCAUGUUAUUAAUGAUUUUCAAAGCAACCUAGCCGGUCCAACAUGGUCCUCACUGCAUAAAAGAUGGACUGAGGCUCCUGGAGUUUGCGUUAACUGCCACGGUCACGUGACCAGCUGGCACCAAGGCACGUUUUGAACCCAGAUUUGCUGAUUCUAUCCACUCCACCCACUCCUUGCUACGCCACGCUCCUGUCACAACGUCAACAGCCAGCAUGCAAACCAGCCUCUGUCCAUCAUGUUAGAAGUCAGGACAGAGGUUACUUGAGGGCAGGUGACGGAAACGGGCCGUGGGGGCUUGUGAGUGCUGACAACAUUUGCCUCCUGAUCCAAGUACUGGCUAUUCAUUUGGGAUAGUGUGAUUUAUGAGAAAUAAAUAUUUGGUCAUUCAGAUGAGCAAAAUAUAUUUCUUAUAUAUAUUUGGCCUUCCUCUGUGGUUCCUGGCUUACAGCUCCCAAAGCCCUUUGAAUUUUCUGAGAGAGAAAAGCAAUGGAAACAUCUUUUGUUAUAAUACUGGGUCUCUUGUCCUCCAUUCCUGAAAUUGCUUCAGAGCCAUAAAGGUGAAAUGGGUGACUUGUUAUUCAUAACAAGCCCCUUUCUACCACGAUGGGGUUUAUGUUAAUGAAGUGACUUUUAUAAAGCCCCUAAGGAUGAGGACUGGUUUCCAGGGGAACCAACCUUGAUUAUAGGGCUGGAACUUUCAGUGGUCCCCCCCCCCACCCCACCCCCCCCCCCCCGAUUUGCAGGGAGGGGAGAGGGACUGGAGGUUGAGUCAAUUACCAAUGGUCAGUGAGCUAAUCAAUCAUGCAUACAUAAUGAAGCCUCGUAAAAAGCCAAAACGCAAAAGAGGUUCAGAGAGCUUUCAGGUUGGUGAACCAGAACCCUUCCAUGUGCCACCUGCUGCCCCAAACUCUACGAAGAUGUCUCGGACUAGUUACCCGGAGGAGGAACUCAAGGGUGGGUUUGGACAUUUUAAUUGUUUUUCCAAAUUUAUUUUUCUCCUUUUGCUAUGGUAAGGAGAUGCAAUCACCAACCUCCCUGAGACAGACCAAGCCUCACCAGAGAGCUAGGCCUAUGACCUUUGCCUUAUUUUUAAUGCUAAGAUCUCCUCUCCAGGAGGAGCUUGGGCCCUAUCACCAUAACCUGCAGUGUAUGUGGAAGUAUGUUUUCCUACUGAGCCCGCGCAAGCGAAUACCCACCUCUCCCUUUUGAAUAGUCAUUCCCCAACCAAAACAAAAGAUCCCUGCUUCCCUUUGUUUAGGGACACCAUGACUUUGGAAGUGAUUCCUCAUGUUCUCCUAUUUGCUGCAAAUAUACCUUACUUUGUGAGACUACAUCUGGUGGAGAGUCUGAUUUUACUCAGUGGGAGGGAAGCCACUUUGGUUUCAGUAAUAAAUUGGCAUAGCUCAGGGCCAGUCUUCCUCAGAAAAAAGAGGAGGAUUGCCAGAUGUUAGCUCAGGGCUAGUCUUCCUCAAAAAAAAAAAAAAUAAAUAUAAUAAGGCCGGCCCGGUGGUGCAGCGGUUAAGUUCCCACGUUCCGCUUCUCGGCAGCCCAGGGUUCGCUGGUUCAGAUCCUGGGUACGGACAUGGCACCGCUUGGUAAAAGCCAUGCUGUGGUAGGCAUCCCACAUAUAAAGUAGAGGAAGAUGGGCAUGGAUGUUAGCUCAGGGCCAGGCUUCCUCAGCAAAAAGAGGAGGACUGGCAGUAGUUAGCUCAGGGCUGAUCUUCCUCAAAAAAACCCCACCAAAAUUGGCACCCUGUGGGGCUUACCCCUUUGUGCUGCCUGUGCCACCGCUUGAUGUUGCCACCCCAUUGGGAGACCCAGUGGUCGCACUGAGUACUUUGCUUGGAGGAUCUCUCAAUGGAGGAGAGGGUCACCAACCCCACGACACAGCUAUAAGAGUUAUUUCUUUAAGUUGUCUCACAAAGCCUGCCUGUUGGGGUCUGGCUUCAGAGUUCGAGUCCCCGUCUGGGGGUAGCCUGGCUCAGGGGAGUGAGAUAUCCCCCUGAUUGGAGGGAUUGCACGACCCAGCCACUUCGGAAGGGCCGAUGCUCAGCUCUGGCAAAACAGGAGCAAUCCCUGUUGACUAGUCGGGGGAUCAAGUUCCCUCUGGAGAUUAGUCUCCUCUGGAGUGAUGAGGUGGGAUUAAACUUCCCCUGACGUCACUGAAUCUGUCUUUGUGUUGUGCCUGCGAUCGGAGGAGGGGUUGCCUUAGAUGGGGUCAAGCCCCCUCUGGAGUUGCUGAGUCUGUUUUUGUUUGUUUCUUUCUUUUUGUCAAGGACGCUCGACAUCAACUGUUUUGUCAAGGAUGAUUGACAUCAAUCUUGUUUUCCCACAAUCUGGCUUUUCUGGAUUCUUAGGUCUCCUUUUUUUCCUGGCCCUUCCUAUCAGUGGUCCCUGAGUGAAACUCAGCGUCCACCAGUUUCAUUUUCCCUUUAAGGAUUUAGUUACUCACCCUGGGUCUAGUUUCAGGCUAUUAGGGUGCUAAACCUUCUCUGGGCACAACCUUGUGGCAUCUGUGUCAUCAGUAACCAUUACAACUUGCUCCUGGCAGGUUGGAAACAGACCAUAAGAAAAGAUGCUAGGAUAUGGAGGGAGCAAGCUCCAUCUCGGAGGAAAGCCCCUUGGGCUGCAUCCUCCAGAACUGGAAGGCCUCCAGGUAUUCCCCAUUGACCUGAGAGCAGAUGAUCUUUUUAUGUAACACAGCCUGACUGCAAUAUCCCCUGGAAUAUGGGGAAAAUGCCCAGAAAAAUGGGACCCUAAAAGUUAACACCAUACUACAGUUAGAUCUAAUUUGCAAAGGAACCAAGAAAUAGGAAGAAAUCCCUUGUGUCCAGUGCUUCAUGGCACUAUGUCUAAAUGAAGGGUCAAAAGUUGAAACUAAGACUCCAGAAAUACUUCCCAUAUUACAAGAUCUUUCUGAUGAGGAGGACCUAUUCCUCCAAAUCAGGAAACAGGGGACUAAGGAAAACCCACCUCAGAGUCCACAUCGCUCACAUACUCCAGCUUUGGCCCCACCAUUAGACCAGCUAGUGAGCCCUGAGAGACCUCCACCUUAUUCCCCUCCCUCACCCCUGCUCAAGCCAAACCCUUUACUGUCCCCCCACCCCCACCCCGAGCAAUCCCUCUAGAGGGAAUUGGACUCUACAACAAGCAAAGACCCUUCACCCUCCCCUUCCUGAUAGUACAACUAGAUUAAGAACCAGACACAAACCUGGGAUAGAUCCCCUGGAACAGGUGCCUGAUGGUGAGGGGAGACUUAUUAAUGUGCACAUCCUCUUUUCCACCUCUGAUCUGGAUGAUUGGAAGGCACAGACUAAAGGACUGAGCGCUGACCCAGAGGAGUUCAUAAACCUGAUGAAGGGAAUCUUCUCCACUCAUAGUCCCACCUGGGCAGAUGUUCAAAGCCUGUUGACUACACUCCAUGCCUGAGGAUAAGUCAUCUGUUCUGUUAAAAGCUAGAGAACAAGCAGAUAAUGAAUAUGACACAGGAUCAGACAUCCGCAGGCCUAGUGAGCAGGCUGUGCCAGGGAGUGACCCUGGGUGCAAGCCCAAUGAUCCCGAUGAACAAGAAAAGCUAGUAUAUUUUGGGGGUCUGCUUUUUAAAGCCAUGAAAAUAGUAAGGCAGCCACCCGUUAACUGGUCUAGAUUAAGAGAGGUCCAACAAGGCCCUGAGGAAAACCCCUCCGCUUUUUUUCAGAGGCUUUGGGACUGCCUCAGGUGAUAUAUAAAUUGGGACCCCAAGGCCUAGGGCAGUACAGUGGUUCUUAAUCCCUAUUUCCUAUCUCAAAGUGCUCCAGACAUCCAUAGGAAACUCCAGAAGUUAGCUAUAGUCCUGAUACUAAUCUUGCACAACCAGUACAGGCUGCAUGUAGGGUGUUUGGUAACCGGGAUGAAGCUGAGCAUGGAAAGCAAGACAAGAAGAUGAAAAGGCAAGCUGCCCUGCUAGCUGUGGCCCUCCAGCCUCCUCAAGGUAACCCGAGGGAGAGAAGGGAUAUGCCAUGGGUGAGUGACCUCGGCCCCCACCGAGGGACCAGAAGGCCACCAACAAAGUUGGAGGCUAAUCGGUUGUGCGUACUGCCAACGGGAAGGGCAUUGGUGGCAGGAUUGUCCAAACUGUCCCCAGAGAGGGAAGGGAUCGAAAAGACUGAGCCGUGGCAGCUUCCCUUGACUACAGAUGAGAUGUAAUGGGGCUGUGGGGCUCCCUGGUUGGUUCCAGGAGCCCUGGGUGACCUCGGCAGCAGGAGGAGAGCAUGUUGAAUUUUUGUUCAAUAAUGGAGCUAUAUUCUCAGUGUUGACAAGUAAAAAUGGCAAGUAAUAGGAUAUAUUGGAAUAUAUGAGGAAGCCAUUUGGUGUAAACCUAAUUCGGCCUGACCUUGUCUUUCCAAAAGGGCCUGACGUAGGCCGUUGAGCAUGCAUUGUAUAUCUGCGUUAGACAUUCCCUAUGGCAAGAGCAAAAGGCCCUUGAGAUAAAGGUGCAACUUCUCUCCCCCUCCCAAUGUUGGCAUCUCCUUAAAGAUUAAGCAUCUUUCUUUAGGCUGGGAACCGAUUGCAGCGCUCAUCUGUGACCCCCCAGCCCGAGGCAACACACCUGCCACCCGGCAGUGUUCACUGAGACAGCAGACCUAUCUGCCGUUUCCAUCAAUCACUGUGCUGACAGAGCAGCCUCGUGACUGUUGUGGGAGGGACAUUUCAAUCAUAUGUGAAACACCCUCUUUGAGGGUACAUAACCACCCUGUGUACCCCCACUUCUUUGGAGUGCUCUGUUCCUUUGUGGAAAGACUCUCCCGGGUUAUAAUCCUAAGAUUUAAGCUCAGAAUAAACUCACCCAAAUUUUCAUUUAUAGAUUGGUUAUGGAUUAUUUUUGUCGACAGUGUUGAGUGCCCCAGAGGGAACCCUUCCUAUAGGAAAGUGUGACAUAAAGGAGGUAUCAGGAAGAGGAGAGACCAAAAGAUUUCUGGAGCCCUUGACCUGUGAAAUGGGAUAAAAAAUGCUGAAGCAUUCUUUUCUGUACAUACCAAGAUGCGUUGAUCCCAUUCUAGGGAGGGACAGGCUAUCUAAGUUAGGGCCUCAAUAAGCUGGGAACAGGGGAAUAUAGAUUUGUUCAAAACUUUAGUAUGG